GCGGGUGUAGCUCAAUGGUAGAGUUCUGGCCUUCCAAGCCAGCUGUGAGGGUUCGAUCCCUUCACCUGCUCCA
This 73-nucleotide transfer RNA is filed under the name Clostridioides difficile. RNAcentral describes it as "tRNA-Gly". It matches the Rfam family "tRNA". Rfam says of the family: Transfer RNA (tRNA) molecules are approximately 80 nucleotides in length. Their secondary structure includes four short double-helical elements and three loops (D, anti-codon, and T loops). Further hydrogen bonds mediate the characteristic L-shaped molecular structure. tRNAs have two regions of fundamental functional importance: the anti-codon, which is responsible for specific mRNA codon recognition, and the 3' end, to which the tRNAs corresponding amino acid is attached (by aminoacyl-tRNA synthetases). tRNAs cope with the degeneracy of the genetic code in two manners: having more than one tRNA (with a specific anti-codon) for a particular amino acid; and 'wobble' base-pairing, i.e. permitting non-standard base-pairing at the 3rd anti-codon position. The record is from RNAcentral. Lineage: Bacteria; Bacillati; Bacillota; Clostridia; Peptostreptococcales; Peptostreptococcaceae.